Molecule: ribosomal RNA, 558 nt
Filed under: Triticum aestivum (bread wheat)
Lineage: Eukaryota; Viridiplantae; Streptophyta; Magnoliopsida; Poales; Poaceae
Description: partial small subunit ribosomal RNA
Source: RNAcentral
AUGGGGUCCGCGGCGUCGACCGACAGGGCCGAGCGGCGGAGGCGGGACCGGGCGCCGGGGCACAGCGGGGCCCCCGAUCCCCCGGCGGCGCCUCCGCAGGAUCCUUCGGUGCCUGCCUCGGCAUCGGAGGCGGAUGUGAGCAGAAACGGGUGUAAGGUGGCGCCAGAGCCCAACGACGGGGAAGAGACGGCGCCGCUGCCGGGAUCCCCCAGCUUCCGGAUCUACUGCCAGAAGGCGGCCCAAGUCGACGCUCUGGUGGCCGAGGCCGACGAUGAAAACGCGGACGGCGACCACGGCGACGAAUUCGCCAGUGCUACUACGGACACGACUCUGGCGGUCAUGAAGAACGAUCCUCCACAAUGCUCCGGCGAGUUGCCCAAAUGUAAGGAGGGGUGGCUGAAGGUCAGAGGCCAGACGGCCGUCGGCGCGCUGUACAGCUUUAUCGCCUGUCACAGCAAGAGAAAUUCAGCUCCUCCUCCUCAUCCUCCUGCUGCAAAAACUCCCCGCCGUCCCGGUGCCGCUCCACCAGCUGCUGUUGCUGCAGAGCCCUAUCUCUGA